AUUCUGGUGUCCCAGGCGUAGAGGAACCACACCAACCCAUCCCGAACUUGGUGGUUAAACUCUACUGCGGUGACGAUACUGUAGGGGAAGCCCUAUGGGAAAAUAGCUCGGUGCCAGGAU
RNAcentral lists this ribosomal RNA (120 nucleotides) under Cathaya argyrophylla. Lineage: Eukaryota; Viridiplantae; Streptophyta; Pinopsida; Pinales; Pinaceae. The record is from RNAcentral.